GGGUUACUCACCUGGAAAAGUUUCUUGCAGUCACUGAUCAUGUGCGACAGGCCCUGGGUGGCUGCCAUGUUGUCACUCAGGUCCCUAGGGCCUGGCCUGCCAAUGAGGCUGCGUUUGCUCUUGAUCCUAGAUGGAGCAGGAGGUGGUGAGAGGAGAGAUGGCACAAGAGCACAAGACAAGAUGGCAGACAGGCUGCCUUCUAGCUGCCAGGAAGCCACUUUGCCAAACCUGACCACAAAACAACCUGCCGCCUUUUGGAAGGCCCUGCUCCACAGCAUCCCACCAGCCCAGGGCCCCUGAGGAGUCAGGCUCACUCCUUGUGGUGAGGCUGAGACACAGCAGUGCCAGCCAUCAAAAGCCAAAAGUCCAGUGGGGCCCAAAUUGUCUGGACCCGGCCCGGCCCUGACAUGCCGUGCACCAUUUCACCUGGGAGAGGGGCUAUCCUUCUUAGAGACAUUGAGGUGGAAGAUGGAGGGCGCCAGGCACACUGCCAGGUUGCCUGCUGUCAUCUGGUUUUCCUCGGCAGAGGCAAUGUCACUUAAGAAGUAGAGCAGGGUCUGUAGCACCUCUCGGUUCUCAUCGGGGAGCAGCAAGGUGGCGGCUUGUGCUGCUGCCAACCACUGAUCCUUGGGGAGGACUGUGAGGAAGCAAUGGAAGAAGAGCCUUCCUUACUUCCCCAGAGGCCUUAGCAGCCAGCCUCCUGUUUCCAAGGGGGCAAAAGGCACAGCAGUCCCAAGGGGAGCGGUGAGAGGGAAGGGAAAAUGUCAGUUCUGUGAGGUCUCUGGGUGCUUGAUCUAGCUUUAUUACUAACAUACAGUGUAACCUUAUGUAGUUCUUCCCUCAGGGCCUCAGUCUACCCUUCCAUAUAAUGGGUUUGGGGAAGCAGAAUGGUCUCUCUGCAAGGGCCUUUCCAACUCCAGAUAGUAACUGUUCCAAUCAUCAGCUCACAGGUCCAGCUACAUUUGCCUGCACCAGGUUUAUCUUCCACAAGUUCUGGGAUUCAGGGAGGUUGAGAAUGGGGCAGGUUGUUGGGGAUAGGAGUGGGCGACUCACGCUGGUAGAUCUGGAGGAAAGUGGUGGUGAGCUUGCUGGUGAAGAUGGGCUCAGGCAGGUCCCGGAAAUACUGCUUUAGCAGGUCAGCCACGUCGUAGGCUGACUGGCCCUCAUAGCAGACAUUGUCAGGCGAGGUCUCAUUCAUUUGACGCAGGUUCUGGAUCCUGGACUUGACCCCAGACUUGCGGAAGAUGCCUACUUGGUCCAGGCACUGGCUGCGCAAGUAGCGCAUGGCUUGCUGAAUGCUCUGUGGCAGUGGCUGGCCCGUGCGCUGCACGUGGAUGAGGGGUGGCACCCCAAAUACGUGCUGUCCCCGGUAAUCUGGGGUCUUGUUCCUCCUCAUGAACUUGGGCAUUGACCUGUUUGGGAGAAUGACAAGUGAUCAGAUAGGGGGAACACAGUUUGGAGACUCUGCCUGCAGUCUCAGAGGAUCAGGUGGGGUGAGGGGGGUAAGGCACACACCACUGCCCCAGAGUCAACACUCAUUGAGCACCUGCUUUGGGCCCAGCCCCAGGGAGUCACAGAGGAACACAGAGAGCUCUCAGUCUGGCCAAGGAGAUAACUGUGUCAAUAGGCAGUAACAACUCAUGUGGCCAGUAGGAGGCCAAGAACUUAGGGGAAGACCCACUGAGGGAGGGGAACUGUACCUAGCGAGUUAGGGAAGGCUUCGGAGAGGACGUGGUAACUCAGCAGGCUCUUGAGGGAUAGGAAGGCAUUGUCCCAGAGGAGAAAUGGGGAAAAUGCAUUCCAGGCAGAGAGCACAGCACAAACAAAGGCAAAGAGGCAGGAAAAAGAUC
This 1850-nucleotide long non-coding RNA is filed under the name Pan troglodytes (chimpanzee). Its description in RNAcentral is "long non-coding RNA NONPTRT018478". Lineage: Eukaryota; Metazoa; Chordata; Mammalia; Primates; Hominidae. The record is from RNAcentral.